Molecule: long non-coding RNA, 601 nt
Organism: Esox lucius (northern pike)
Lineage: Eukaryota; Metazoa; Chordata; Actinopteri; Esociformes; Esocidae
Exons: 3
Source: RefSeq, a predicted model, not a curated record
GUGGCUCGUUAUUGCCGUACUUGUAGUACGUGCCAAGUGGUGGGGAAGCCUAACCAGGUUAUUUCCCCGGCGCCUCUCUGCCCGAUUCCGGUCAUGGGAGAGCCGUUUGAAAAGGUUUUGAUUGAUUGUGUUGGUCCGUUACCAAGAACUAAGUCAGAUGUCUAGUGCUUACCACCCUGAGAGUCAAGGUGCUCUGGAACGUUGGCAUCAAACCCUAAAAGCCAUGUUACCCCGUUGUCUUAUUUACAACCCUGCCUGGUUCCUGGAGAAGGGAAAGAUAGUGCUGCCCAUGGGUCUACUUCUGCACGUAGAUAACCCUUUGUUAUACACACUAGGUUAGCUGGGCGGGAGUCACCCAUGUGUUUUGGUAAGAGCUAGGAAAGCUGGUUAGGGACUAGACCGGAUUAGGAAGGAUUAGAGGUAUAGAAGCGUAGGGACCUCUUUAUUGUUUUCAUUGAUUGGACCCCGUUCUCUAAGUCCCUUCUCCUACCUUCCCUAUUGUGUCUAUUGUGUUUUGGUGGGAUGGUUGUUCCUGUAAAUGGGUAUGUUAUGGUUUUGUUUAAUUAAUAACUAACCUGCCCCAGUGUGGGGAUACACCUAA